RNAcentral lists this ribosomal RNA (504 nucleotides) under uncultured bacterium. Its description in RNAcentral is "partial 16S ribosomal RNA". It matches the Rfam family "Bacterial small subunit ribosomal RNA", at positions 30 to 523 of the family's 1533-position model. The record is from RNAcentral.
AUUGAACGCUGGCGGCAGGCCUAACACAUGCAAGUCGAACGGUAGCACAGAGAGCUUGCUCUCGGGUGACGAGUGGCGGACGGGUGAGUAAUGUCUGGGAAACUGCCCGAUGGAGGGGGAUAACUACUGGAAACGGUAGCUAAUACCGCAUAACGUCUUCGGACCACAGUGGGGGACCUUCGGGCCUCACACCAUCGGAUGUGCCCAGAUGGGAUUAGCUAGUAGGUGGGGUAAUGGCUCACCUAGGCGACGAUCCCUGGCUGGUCUGAGAGGAUGACCAGCAACACUGGAACUGAGACACGGUCCAGACGCCUACGGGAGGCAGCAGUGGGGAAUAUUGCACAAUGGGCGCAAGCCUGAUGCAGCCAUGCCGCGUGUAUGAAGAAGGCCUUCGGGUUGUAAAGUACUUUCAGCGGGGAGGAAGGCGUUAAGGUUAAUAACCUUGGCGAUUGACGUUACCCGCAGAAGAAGCACCGGCUAACUCCGUGCCAGCAGCCGCAGUAA